This 325-nucleotide ribosomal RNA is filed under the name uncultured eukaryote. RNAcentral describes it as "partial 18S ribosomal RNA". It matches the Rfam family "Eukaryotic small subunit ribosomal RNA", at positions 1469 to 1796 of the family's 1831-position model. The record is from RNAcentral.
ACCCUUAGAUGUUCUGGGCCGCACGCGCGCUACACUGAUGCAUUCAACGAGCCUAUCCUUGGCAGAAGUGCCCGGGUAAUCUUUGAAACUGCAUCGUGAUGGGGAUAGAUUAUUGCAAUUAUUAGUCUUCAACGAGGAAUGCCUAGUAAGCGCGAGUCAUCAGCUCGCGUUGAUUACGUCCCUGCCCUUUGUACACACCGCCCGUCGCUCCUACCGAUUGGAUGUGCUGGUGAAGUGUUCAGACUGGCCCCUUUUGAUGGCAACAUCGAUUGGAGCCGGGAAGAAUAUUAAACCCUCCCAUCUAGAGGAAGGAGAAGUCGUAACA